AUUGAACGCUGGCGGCAGGCCUAACACAUGCAAGUCGAGCGGUAGCACAGAGAGCUUGCUCUCGGGUGACGAGCGGCGGACGGGUGAGUAAUGUCUGGGAAACUGCCUGAUGGAGGGGGAUAACUACUGGAAACGGUAGCUAAUACCGCAUAAUGUCGCAAGACCAAAGUGGGGGACCUUCGGGCCUCAUGCCAUCAGAUGUGCCCAGAUGGGAUUAGCUAGUAGGUGGGGUAACGGCUCACCUAGGCGACGAUCCCUAGCUGGUCUGAGAGGAUGACCAGCCACACUGGAACUGAGACACGGUCCAGACUCCUACGGGAGGCAGCAGUGGGGAAUAUUGCACAAUGGGCGCAAGCCUGAUGCAGCCAUGCCGCGUGUGUGAAGAAGGCCUUCGGGUUGUAAAGCACUUUCAGCGGGGAGGAAGGCGGUGAGGUUAAUAACCUCAUCGAUUGACGUUACCCGCAGGAGAAGCACCGGCUAACUCCGUGCCAGCCGCCGCUGUAA
Molecule: ribosomal RNA, 504 nt
Filed under: uncultured bacterium
Lineage: Bacteria
Description: partial 16S ribosomal RNA
Rfam family: Bacterial small subunit ribosomal RNA
Source: RNAcentral